AGCGAACGUUUGCGGCGGGCCUAACACAUGCAAGUCGAACGCACUAGCAAUAGUGAGUGGCGCACGGGUGCGUAACACGUGGGUAAUCAACCCUUCAGCUUGGGAUAACGACUUGAAGGGGUCGCUAAUACCGGAUACGGCGAGAGAGGCUUCGGCAUUUCUCGAGAAAGCCUCGCAAGGGGCACUGAAGGACGAGCCUGUCGGCCCAGUCAGCUAGUUGGUGAGGUAAGAGCUCACCAAGGCGAAGACGGGUAGCUGGUCUGAGAGGAUGAUCAGCCACACUGGAACUGAGACACGGCCCAGAC
This 305-nucleotide ribosomal RNA is filed under the name uncultured bacterium. Its description in RNAcentral is "bacterial SSU rRNA". It matches the Rfam family "Bacterial small subunit ribosomal RNA", at positions 29 to 336 of the family's 1533-position model. The record is from RNAcentral.